GGGGGGAACCCUGAUGCAGCAACGCCGCGUGAGUGAAGAAGGCAUUCGUGUCGUAAAACUCUGUAGUAGGGGAAGAAAGAAAUGACAGUACCCUAAAAGAAAGCCCCGGCUAACUACGUGCCAGCAGCCGCGGUAAUACGUAGGGGGCAAGCGUUAUCCGGAAUAACUGGGCGUAAAGGGUGCGCAGGUGGCUUAACAAGUUAGUGGUGAAAGGCAUAGGCUCAACCAAUGUAAGCCAUUAAAACUGUUUAACUUGAGUGCAGGAGAGGAAAGUGGAAUUCCUAGUGUAGCGGUGAAAUGCGUAGAUAUUAGGAGGAAUACCAGUGGCGAAGGCGACUUUCUGGACUGCAACUGACACUGAGGCACGAAAGCGUGGGGAGCAAACAGGAUUAGAUACCCUGGUAGUCCACGCCGUAAACGAUGAGUACUAGGUGUCGGUGAGACUCGGUGCGAGUUACCAUUAGUACUCCGCCUGGGGAGUACGCUCGC
RNAcentral lists this ribosomal RNA (489 nucleotides) under Filifactor alocis. RNAcentral describes it as "bacterial SSU rRNA". It matches the Rfam family "Bacterial small subunit ribosomal RNA", at positions 373 to 889 of the family's 1533-position model. Lineage: Bacteria; Bacillati; Bacillota; Clostridia; Peptostreptococcales; Filifactoraceae. The record is from RNAcentral.